RNAcentral lists this long non-coding RNA (1075 nucleotides) under Sus scrofa (pig). RNAcentral describes it as "lncRNA (ENSSSCG00045032341.1)". The record is from RNAcentral. Lineage: Eukaryota; Metazoa; Chordata; Mammalia; Artiodactyla; Suidae.
CGCCACAGCCACAGCCACAGCAACGCCAGAUCCUUAACCCACUGAAUGAGGCCAGGGAUUGAAAUCACAUCCUUGGGGACACAUGUUGGGUUCUUAACCCACUGAGCCACAACUGGAACACCCUUCCCUUUCUUGUCUAAGUCACUGAAUUAAAAAUCAAGAAGAAAAAAGUACUGCCAUGAUAACACCUGCCACAGACAGUGUCCAAGACAUUAAAGAUACCAUAUAAUGAAAUCAAAACUCAUUUGCUCAAUAAAUAUUUCUAAACGACCUACUAUGUGCCAGAUACCAAAGAUGACAUACCUGAAAGGAUCCUCAGUGAUUAGCAAACCAUUCAUUCCACCACCAGGAGGAAAGGGCAGAGAUUACGGUUAUUCUGUCUCAGAGGUGAAACUGGGACCCUACCAUUUGAUUUCCAAGUCACUGCAUUGAUGGAUGGAUACGCAUCAAGCAUCUCCAUCCUGUACCACCCCUCAUGAGCUGUUCCAGCAUCUUUUUCCUUCCUAAGCUUACUGACCUUUGGCGAUUUUAAUGUCCAGAGCCGUCCGGAUUAGAGCCAUAAGCGUGGAAGUGAAGUGGACGGUCAUGUCCUCAGCCACGGGCAUAUUCAUCAGGACCAACCUCUGCGUGAGAGAAAAGAAACAGCGGGAGAAAAAAAAAAAUAUAUCGAAAGAAACCUUGAGAAUGAUGCCGAAUUCCAAGCAAAGAGGGACUCAUCACUCUGUAGGACCCCUCCACAGUCCUAGGAAUGUCUUUAACGGGGAUUCUUCAAAACCGAGGCUCAGGGGAAGGAGUCAGCUCUGCGAGGUGGCUCCUUUCCCUGUUUCAGGGCUAGAUUUCCACUGGCCCCAUGAAUACCCCCCAAAACGCAGAUGGAAAGAUAGUGCUUUGCGUCUCCUACUUGAAAGGUGCAUCCUGAUGCCCCCUNGAUUUUGUGUAUUGUUAGAUUCAGUUUGCUGGUAUUUUGUUGAGGAUUUUUGCAUCAACAUGUGAAAGAUAUUGACCUAUAGUUCAUAAUUCAUUCCCCCUCUCUCUGUCCUUCUUUCUCACAGUAUCUUGGUCGGGGGUUUUGGUA